RNAcentral lists this long non-coding RNA (839 nucleotides) under Cricetulus griseus (Chinese hamster). Its description in RNAcentral is "lncRNA (ENSCGRG00015029610.1)". Lineage: Eukaryota; Metazoa; Chordata; Mammalia; Rodentia; Cricetidae. The record is from RNAcentral.
CUAAAUCCCUGUGACCUAAGAAAAGGCACUGGCAACAACACAGAGGUUUGCCGAAAUAUUUGCAUAUGGUACACACAGCUUCUGUCAAUUCAUGAUGGUGGUCACUGUGUCACGUCCAGAAGACAGCAUCUGUUUGCAGUGACAGCAGUCAAUUCGAAGAUGCAAGAUUGGUCAGAGUACCAAGAGUAAGGGACUAUGUGCGAUUUUCAGAGAGGUGGUGAGAUGCAGUUUGGUUCCUGCCUCCAGAUUCCUGCCCUGACUUCCCUAGAUGAUGGACUGCAAGCUGUACAAAGAAGUAGACUUUCUCCUCUGAAGUUGCUUUUGGCCAUGGUAUUUUAUCACAGCAGUGCAGACCCUGAGAUUUCAGCCUGCAUGGGACCUUCCAGCACUAUGAACAUCAGCCAUCAGAGUGGAAGCUUCCAACUUAGUUCUAGCUUGAUUUAUUUAUAUGCUGCAUCUGCAUCCAAAGUCUGUGGUUUCUUCAGUAACAUAGUCUUACCAUCUAGUUCCGGUGGGUGACCUACCAAUGGCAGUUUUGGGAGCCUGUAAUCAACAACUCAGAAGGAAAUAGCCUACAAGUGGUGUUGAGAUUUUUCUUUCAAAACUCUUGUCGUUUGGGAGCAGUAUUAUCCAUUCAUUUAGGGUACCUUCAUCCACAAAUGUUAGCUCUCUAAUUGGACUUAAGGCCUGCUCAAUAGGAGGGAAACCAUGCCUGGUACUGGUAGCAUAGCCAACUACCCGGUGCCAGUGAACUCAUGGAUCUUGGAGGAGAACUGACAACCAUCACUUUACUAAGCCAUCGUAAUACCUAACUAUACUCUAAAUCCUUAUACUCACAG